CAGCCGCCGCGGUAAAACGAGGGGGGCAAGCGUUGUUCGGAAUUAUUGGGCGUAAAGGGCGCGUAGGCGGUUUGGCAAGUUUGGUGUGAAAUCUUCGGGCUCAACUCGAAGUCUGCAUCGAAAACUGCCGGGCUUGAGUAUGGGAGAGGUGAGUGGAAUUUCCGGUGUAGCGGUGAAAUGCGUAGAUAUCGGAAGGAACACCUGUGGCGAAAGCGGCUCACUGGACCAUUACUGACGCUCAUGCACGAAAGCGUGGGGAGCAAACAGGAUUAGAUACCCCUGUAGUCCCUGUCUCUUAUAC
This 301-nucleotide ribosomal RNA is filed under the name uncultured bacterium. RNAcentral's name for it is "partial 16S ribosomal RNA". It matches the Rfam family "Bacterial small subunit ribosomal RNA", at positions 509 to 807 of the family's 1533-position model. The record is from RNAcentral.